GUCUUUUUGAGUUAUAUUUAAAGUCUAACCUGCCCACUGAAAAUUUUUGAAUGGCCGCAGUAAUUUGACUGUGCAAAGGUAGCAUAAUCAUUAGUUUUUUAAUUAAAAGCUUGUAUGAAAGGUUGAACGAAGUAAAAUCUGUCUCUAUUUAAUUAAAUUUAGAAUUUAAUUUUUAAGUUAAAAAGCUUAAAUAUUUGUAAAAGACGAGAAGACCCUAUAGAGCUUUAUAAUUUAUUAAAUAUAAUUAUUUAAGAUUAUUUUAAGUUUUAUUAUAUAAAUUAUUUUAUUGGGGUAAUAUAAAGAUUUAAAUAAUUCUUUUUUUUUAUUAACACUAAUUUGUGAUAUAAUGAUCCAUUUUUAUUGAUUAAAAGAUUAAGUUACCUUAGGGAUAACAGCGUAAUUUUUUUAAAGAGUUCAUAUCGAUAAAAAAGUUUGCGACCUCGAUGUUGGAUUAAAGAUUAGUUUAGGUGUAGAAGUUUAAAUUUUUGGUCUGUUCGACCAUUAAAUCUUUACAUGAUCUGAGUUCAGACCGGUGUAAGCCAGGUCGGUUUCUAUCUUUAUUAAAUUUAAAUAUUUCAGUACGAAAGGACCAAAUAUUUAAUAUAUUUAUAUUUUAUUUUUUGAAUAUUAAUAUUAUUUUGGCAGAUUAGUGCAAUGAAUUUAGAAUUCAUAUAUGUAAUUAUUUUACAAAUAAUACUUGUUUUAUAUAGAUAUUUUGUUUCCUUUAAUUUGUAUAGUUUUAUUAGUUAUUUGUGUUAUAGUUGGAGUUGCUUUUUUGACUCUUUUAGAACGAAAAGUUUU
RNAcentral lists this ribosomal RNA (801 nucleotides) under Metius blandus. RNAcentral's name for it is "partial 16S ribosomal RNA". The stretch from base 1 to 582 matches the Rfam family "Bacterial large subunit ribosomal RNA", at positions 1829 to 2925 of the family's 2925-position model. Lineage: Eukaryota; Metazoa; Arthropoda; Insecta; Coleoptera; Carabidae. The record is from RNAcentral.